This 258-nucleotide ribosomal RNA is filed under the name Janthinobacterium sp. ISO693_OTU706. RNAcentral's name for it is "partial 16S ribosomal RNA". It matches the Rfam family "Bacterial small subunit ribosomal RNA", at positions 30 to 289 of the family's 1533-position model. Lineage: Bacteria; Pseudomonadati; Pseudomonadota; Betaproteobacteria; Burkholderiales; Oxalobacteraceae. The record is from RNAcentral.
UUGAACGCUGGCGGCAUGCCUUACACAUGCAAGUCGAACGGCAGCACGGAGCUUGCUCUGGUGGCGAGUGGCGAACGGGUGAGUAAUAUAUCGGAACGUACCCUGGAGUGGGGGAUAACGUAGCGAAAGUUACGCUAAUACCGCAUACGAUCUAAGGAUGAAAGUGGGGGAUCGCAAGACCUCAUGCUCGUGGAGCGGCCGAUAUCUGAUUAGCUAGUUGGUAGGGUAAAAGCCUACCAAGGCAUCGAUCAGUAGCUG